AUGUUGCGCACGGUGAGGCGGUGCAGCUCCUGCCCCGCCCACACGGGGCAGAUGAGCACGCAGACGGAGAGGCACAUGAAGACGCCGAUGCCGAUGGUGCACACCCGCUGCUGCGCCAUCGCCAGGAGCGCCUCCACGCGGUACCCCGACACGGCCACCAGGCUGUACGUCAGGAUGAAGAUGGUCACGCCGUAG
RNAcentral lists this ribosomal RNA (195 nucleotides) under Triticum aestivum (bread wheat). RNAcentral describes it as "partial small subunit ribosomal RNA". The record is from RNAcentral. Lineage: Eukaryota; Viridiplantae; Streptophyta; Magnoliopsida; Poales; Poaceae.